This 237-nucleotide ribosomal RNA is filed under the name uncultured bacterium. RNAcentral's name for it is "partial 16S ribosomal RNA". It matches the Rfam family "Bacterial small subunit ribosomal RNA", at positions 524 to 761 of the family's 1533-position model. The record is from RNAcentral.
UACAGAGGAGCCAAGCGUUGUCCGGAUUGACUGGGCGUAAAGCGCACGCAGGCGGACGCGCGCGUGGGGUGUGAAAUCUGGCCGCUUAACGGCCAGGCGCCAUCCCAUACGGCGGGUCUGGAGCCUUGCAGAGGUCGGUGGAAUUGCCGGUGUAGUGGUGAAAUGCGUAGAGAUCGGCAGGAACACCCAGGGGAAACCAGCCGACUGGGCAAAUGCUGACGCUGAGGUGCGAGAGCG